CUCCCUUCGCGCGCCUGCGCAGGGCCCUUUCUCCAUAGAGCGCGCGGAGGACAAGGACAGAAUGAACCAAACAAAAGACCAUAACUGUGGCUGGAACAGAGGAUGUGCAGCAGUCAGACCCCGCAGAGAUUGGAGGACAAGGUCACGUGCUCUGUGAGAAGCCCUACGGAGAGGCUCACAUGGCAAGAAACAGACCUCCCGCCAGCAAACCAGUGAGUCAUCUUGGAAGUGCACCCUCUAGUCCCUUUCAAGCCUUCAAGUCACCGCAGCCCUGGGUGAUGACAUCUGGACUGCAACCUCGCAAGAGACCCAGAGCAAAAGCCACCCUGCUAAGUGACUCCCAGGCCCCUGAUCCCCAGAAAUUAUAUUAAUAUAUAAACAGAAAUGUUGCCAGCUUGGACUGGAAGGGACAGAGAUGGUUACUAAAUGAAAAGAGCCUUUGGGUCACCAAAGUCCCCUAACAAGAAAGCAGGUCAUGAAAACCCUCUCAGCUGCAAAAACAUGUUACCUUUUAUGAAGAAGCAAGGAGGAGUCCAAGCAAGGAGUCUAGUCUAGAGGGUGGAGUCAAGAACCAUGGAGAAAGUAGUAGGAAUAAGUUCUCAUCAAGGAACUUCCCACAGUUGUCCAACCAGAUUUCAAAAUUGCUGUGGACCAGUGACACCUGUACACCCUCCAAUCCUCUCGCUCUUUUUGAAUAGGAGAACACAUGGCCGUACUUUGUGCCUGUCCCACCAUUGUAUAUGGGGCAUGUGGCUGGCACAUCACUUGUCUCUUUAGUUCACAGGCCAACAGAGUGAGGGCUUCACCACUCUCAGGCCUGAUGUAGGUGAUGAGGUUCCAGACUUUAGGCUGAUGCUGUCAUGGGAAGAGACUUUGGGGGCACUUGGGAAGAGGUGAGUAUAUUUUGCAGGAGGGAGAGACAUGAAUUAUUGGGGGCCCCAAUGAUCCUCACCUUCUGGUGUAUGGAGAUGCCUUCUGCAUUGUAUCCGGGUUGGUCUGUAUGACCAAUAAAUAUAGUUGCUUCUGAGAUUAGGUUAUAAAAGACUGCAUUUUCUGUCUUGGGCUCACUCUUGUUAUCUCUUGGAUUCCUUGCCUUGGGGAAAGCCAGACAGCCUAUGUGGUAAGGAACUGAGGCUUCCAGCCAGAGCCAGUGAGGGGCUGAUGCCUGUCAACAACCAUGUAUAUGAGCUUGGAAGUGGAUCCUCUAGCCCCACAUGACUGAACCCCUGAUGGAGCGCUUGACUUCAUCCAAACAAGGGACUCAGCAAAAACCAGCUGAGCUGCUCCCAGAUUCCUGAAUCUCAGAAAUAGUGUGACUAAAUAAAUGUUACUUC
Long non-coding RNA from Nyctereutes procyonoides (raccoon dog), 1334 nucleotides. RefSeq lists it as uncharacterized. The record is from RefSeq and is a predicted model, not a curated record. The transcript has 4 exons. Lineage: Eukaryota; Metazoa; Chordata; Mammalia; Carnivora; Canidae.